GCAUGUUCUGAUUUGAGGUGAACCCAAACAACUGGUUCCAUCUCAGUGUACGUCAUGCUAUAUCAGCUUGACUCAGAACCAUUGGCUGGUCCCAUUCAGUGGGCCUGAUCACUGAAAUGAGUCAGACAUUA
RNAcentral lists this small nucleolar RNA (131 nucleotides) under Cynoglossus semilaevis (tongue sole). Its description in RNAcentral is "Small nucleolar RNA SNORA42/SNORA80 family (ENSCSEG00000007184.1)". Lineage: Eukaryota; Metazoa; Chordata; Actinopteri; Pleuronectiformes; Cynoglossidae. The record is from RNAcentral.